RNAcentral lists this ribosomal RNA (496 nucleotides) under uncultured bacterium. RNAcentral's name for it is "partial 16S ribosomal RNA". It matches the Rfam family "Bacterial small subunit ribosomal RNA", at positions 28 to 523 of the family's 1533-position model. The record is from RNAcentral.
GAUGAACGCUAGCGGCAGGCCUAAUACAUGCAAGUCGAGGGGUAGAUGGGGCUUGCUCCAUUGAGACCGGCGCACGGGUGCGUAACGCGUAUGCAACCUACCUUGAUCUGGGGGAUAGCCCGGAGAAAUCCGGAUUAACACCGCAUAAAACCACAGCAGGACAUCCUGCAAUGGUCAAACAUUCAUGGGAUCAGGAUGGGCAUGCGUGCCAUUAGCUUGUUGGCGGGGUAACGGCCCACCAAGGCUACGAUGGCUAGGGGAUCUGAGAGGAUGGCCCCCCACACUGGUACUGAGACACGGACCAGACUCCUACGGGAGGCAGCAGUAAGGAAUAUUGGUCAAUGGAGGCAACUCUGAACCAGCCAUGCCGCGUGCAGGAAGACGGCCCUCCGGGUUGUAAACUGCUUUUAUCCGGGAAUAAACCUAUCUACGUGUAGAUAGCUGAAUGUACCGGAGGAAUAAGGAUCGGCUAACUCCGUGCCAGCAGCCGCCGUAA